GAAAUGUUUGUGUGUGGGGGGGGGGGACUGGUGGGUUGUCUAACAUUUUAUUCUGCUUUUGGGAGGGUAGUGUAUUUGUUUUAUUGGGCACAGGGGCAUGUUUUUUCCUUGAUUUACAUUCACUAUAUAAUGUAUUCUACUGUAUAUAGCCACAUUUCCUCAUCUGCUUGCACUUCUUCUAUAAAGGUGUUUGGUACUUGUCUUAUGCACUAUGUUUUCCACAUGCUUACUACAGAUUUACACCACAUAAACACUCAGCCAUUUUCACUGGACUAUCAAGCCCCUGUUGCUGCCAAAUUUAUCAUCACUAAUAUAGAUGUUUCUUUUGAUCAUUUCAGAUUCAGCAUCUGGAGUACCUGCUUUAUCAGGAGCAUAACCUAGAAUCUGGAUACACUGUGACAAUGGGGUCAUUGUUCCUGACAUCCCAUGCCUCCUGUCUUCUGAGAAUCUUGCUGUGCUCCAAUGUCAAUUGAACCCUACCACUAACUCCUCAUAUUUUGGUCAGGACAUAUACAUACAUGCUCUUCGAUUACUUAUGAGUCUCCAGCCAUUUUAGGUGCAGUCCUCCCACACGAUGGAUAUUGUUUUAGCCCCAGUGCCACUCUUGAUAAUGGCAAACAUUUGGAUUUUUUUGGAGGAGGGUGAAAGGAUAACAGGACCAGCUGUCAAAGUGAGAGAGUAGGCUAUUCUGGAUAGAGCAGCAGGUAUGUUUUGAUGUGAGAGAGGAAGCCAGUCCCGUCAUCACCACCUCACCCGCUCUUAAGAUAACCUUCUGACUGGGAGCCCAAGGCUGGCUAGGAGACACUGCUGGAGACAUUAUUAUGUAAUUGUGAUGAACUGAGAGAAUAUUAGUGUAACACUGUAAUUCAUUAAUCAUAUGCUGUCUUCCCUGUUCCUCUGUUUUACCUUUUCUGUCUUCUACACCUCUACCUCUACCUCCUCUUUCUUCCUCUUUUUUAUAACGCACACCAUAUGUGCAUUGAAGUACAGAUUGAACUUGUAUUUAGAACAUACUAUUACAAUUCUAAUAUUUAUAAUGCAUGUAUUAUGUAUUUAUAACACCUGUAUAAUGACAUUUCAAUAAAGCGUUUCACAUUCUC
This is a long non-coding RNA of Oncorhynchus masou masou (cherry salmon), 1100 nucleotides long. RefSeq lists it as uncharacterized. The record is from RefSeq and is a predicted model, not a curated record. Lineage: Eukaryota; Metazoa; Chordata; Actinopteri; Salmoniformes; Salmonidae. The transcript has 2 exons.